UAAUGACACUCUCGUGCUAGCUUUUCAAGUUGCUACCGCUGUGGUUGCUGAAGAAGAAUCGAAUAAUCAAGGGCGGAGAACAGGGUAUCGUGGCUCUAUUCUUGGUCAUAAUAUUGUCAAUCGUAAUAGAAAAUAAGUGGAAGCUUAUAAUCCAUAUUUCAAACAAAGGACAGAUGCUCUUAGUGUUUUUGGUUUAUCUUGCCUUCAAAAGGUAACUGCAGCUCAUAAAAUACUUGCAUAUGGUAUUCAUGGAGAUCUUACUAAUAAAUAUCUUCGAAUUAGAGAAAUCACUGCGAUAGAAAGUUUUAGAGCUUUCGUCAAAACAAUCGUAAAGGUUUUUGGUGAUUGGUAUCUAAGAGCACCAAACGAGGCUGAUAUUUGUCGAUUAUUAUCAAUUGGAGAGCAACGUGGAUUUCCAAGGAUGUUAGGGAGCAUUGACUGUAUGCAUUAGAAAUGAGAGAAAUGUCCAAUUGCAUGGCAUGAGAUGUGUACUGGUCAUUGUCGUGAACCAACUAUAAUUCUAGAGGCGGUGGCUUCACAAGAUCUUUGGAUAUGACAUGUCUUUUUUUGAAUGCCUAGAUCAUUAGAUGAUAUUAAUGUUCUUGAUCGGUCACCUAUCUUUGCUGCACCUGCUGAAGGUCGUAUUGUUCCUGUCAAUUAUACAAUUAAUGGACAUGAAUAUACAAUAAGAUAUUAUUUAG
Long non-coding RNA from Populus euphratica (Euphrates poplar), 701 nucleotides. RefSeq lists it as uncharacterized. NCBI's taxonomy places the organism in Eukaryota, Viridiplantae, Streptophyta, Magnoliopsida, Malpighiales, Salicaceae. The record is from RefSeq and is a predicted model, not a curated record. The transcript has 2 exons.